CUACGGAGGAUGCGAGCGUUAUCCGGAUUUAUUGGGUUUAAAGGGAGCGUAGGCGGGAGCUUAAGUCAGCGGUUAAAUGGUGCGGCUCAACCGUGCCCUGCCGUUGAAACUGGGUUUCUUGAGAGUGCAAGAGGCGGAUGGAAUUCAUGGUGUAGCGGUGAAAUGCUUAGAUAUCAUGAAGAACUCCGAUUGCGAAGGCAGUCCGCUGGGGCACGUCUGACGCUGAUGCUCGAAGGUGCGGGAAUCAAACAGGAUUAGAUACCCUGGUAGUCCGCACGGUAAACGAUGAUUACCCGCUGUCGGCGGUAGACAGUCGGCGGCCAAGCGAAAGCGAUAAGUGCCCCACCUGGGGAGUACGGUCGCAAGGCGGAAACUCAAAGGAAUUGGCGGGG
RNAcentral lists this ribosomal RNA (392 nucleotides) under uncultured bacterium. RNAcentral describes it as "partial 16S ribosomal RNA". It matches the Rfam family "Bacterial small subunit ribosomal RNA", at positions 523 to 918 of the family's 1533-position model. The record is from RNAcentral.